Molecule: small RNA, 619 nt
Filed under: Pongo abelii (Sumatran orangutan)
Lineage: Eukaryota; Metazoa; Chordata; Mammalia; Primates; Hominidae
Description: retained intron
Source: RNAcentral
UUAUUUUGUUCCGUUAAAGUCAUUGUGUGUUUAUAAAGAUGAAUAAGAUAGUGUUUAUGAUUACCAAGGCAGAAUGACCAUUUGAAAUAUCCCAGUGCCAGUAUUUUACUUUUUUAAAAUUUCAAUGUAAAAGGAGAAGGAAAGGAAGUUGGGUGGUUAUAGGAGAUAAUAUUUUGUGCUUUUGUCCUUUUUUUCAUGGUGGAUUUUUCUUCAAAGAAGACUUAAUAUUUAAUGAGAUUCAGGAAGGUAACAUAAUUUUCUGUUUUCUUUCAUUCUAUCCAGAUCUGCUUGACAUUUACCUGGAAGGAUGCUUUUGAUAAAGGUUCACUUUUUGGAGGCUCUGUAAAACUGGCUCUUGCAAGCUUAGGAUAUGAAAAGAGCUGUGUGUUGUUCAAUUGUGCAGCCUUAGCUAGCCAAAUUGCAGCAGAACAGAACCUGGAUAAUGAUGAAGGAUUGAAAAUCGCUGCUAAGCAUUACCAGUUUGCUAGUGGUGCCUUUUUACAUAUUAAAGAGACGGUUUUAUCUGCCUUAAAUCGAGAGCCUACCGUGGACAUAUCUCCAGAUACUGUUGGGACCCUCAGUCUUAUUAUGCUGGCACAGGCUCAAGAAGUAUUUUUUU